AAAAUGGCCCUUCUCAGGGCCAGUAGAUCAAUUCGUAAAAGAGUUUU
This is a non-coding RNA of Aedes aegypti (yellow fever mosquito), 47 nucleotides long. Lineage: Eukaryota; Metazoa; Arthropoda; Insecta; Diptera; Culicidae. The record is from Rfam.